UUAUACAACCUCAACUCAUAUGGGACUACCCCCUGAAUUUAAGCAUAUUAAUUAGGGGAGGAAAAGAAACUAACAAGGAUUUUCUUAGUAGCGGCGAGCGAAAAGAAAUCAGUUCAGCACUAAGUCACUUUGUCGUAUAUGGCAAAUGUGAGAUGCAGUGUAUGGAACAUCAAUAUUAUAGUAUGAGAAAUUAACGAUUUAAGUCUUUCUUAAAUGAGGCCAUUUACCCAUAGAGGGUGCCCGGCCCGUAUAACGUUAAUGAUUAUUAGAUGGUGUUUCCAAAGAGUCGUGUUGCUUGAUAGUGCAGCAUWAAGUGGGUGGUAAACUCCAUCUAAAACUAAAUAUAACCAUGAGACCGAUAGUAAACAAGUACCGUGAGGGAAAGUUGAAAAGAACUCUGAAUAGAGAGUUAAAUAGUACGUGAAACUGCUUAGAGGUUAAGCCCGAUGAACCUGAAUAUCCGUUAUGGAAAAUUCAUCAUUAGAGUUGUAAUAUUUAAACAAUAUUAUAAUAAUAGUGUGCAUUUUUUCCAUAUAAGGACAUUGUAAUCUAUUAGUAACAAAAAUUUAUCAAAAAAUUUUGGAUAAGAGCUUAUUUAAAUUAAAAUGCUUGCGUUUUAACAUAAAAUGAAUGUCAUAAAUUUGAUAAAGUGCUGAUAGAUUUAUAUGAGUACAGUGUGUUAAUUUUUCGGAAUUAUAUAAUGGCAUAACUAUCAUUGAUUUUUGUGUUUAUUAUAUGCACUUGUAUGAUUAACAAUGCGAAAGAUUCAGGAUACCUUCGGGACCCGUCUUGAAACACGGACCAAGGAGUCUAACAUAUGUGCAAGUUAUUGGGAUAAAAACCUAAUAGCGUAAUUAACUUGACUAAUAAUGGGAUUAGUUUUUUAACUAUUUAUAGUUAAUUAACGCAAUCCCGGGGCGUUCUAUAUAGUUAUGUAUAAUGAUAUUUAUAUUAUUUAUACCUCUAACUGGAACGUACCUUGAGCAGAUAUGCUGUGACCCGAAAGAUGGUGAACU
This 1016-nucleotide ribosomal RNA is filed under the name Drosophila tripunctata. Its description in RNAcentral is "eukaryotic LSU rRNA". It matches the Rfam family "Eukaryotic large subunit ribosomal RNA", at positions 1 to 832 of the family's 3401-position model. The record is from RNAcentral. Lineage: Eukaryota; Metazoa; Arthropoda; Insecta; Diptera; Drosophilidae.